AGAGUUGAUCCUGGCUCAGGACGAACGGCUGGCGGCGUGCUACACAUGCAAGUCGAGCGAUGAAGCUCCUUCGGGAAGUGGAUUAGCGGCGGACGGGUGAGUAACACGUGGGCAACCUGCCUCAAAGAGGGGAAUAGCCCUCCGAAAGGAGGAUUAAUACCGCAUAAAGUUAGAGUUUCGCAUGAAACUUUAGCCAAAGGAGUAAUCUGCUUUGAGAUGGGCCCGCGUCCCACUAGCUAGUUGGUAAGGUAAUGGCUUACCAAGGCAACGAUGGGUAGCCGACCUGAGGGGGUGAUCGGCCACAUUGGAACUGAGACACAGUCCAGACUCCUACGGGAGGCAGCAGUGGGGAAUAUUGCGCAAUGGGGGAAACCCUGACGCAGCAACGCCGCGUGGGUGAUGAAGGUUUUCGGAUCGUAAAACCCUGUUUUCUGGGACGAUAAUGACGGUACCAGAUGAGGAAGCCACGGCUAACUACGUG
Molecule: ribosomal RNA, 481 nt
Filed under: uncultured Clostridium sp.
Lineage: Bacteria; Bacillati; Bacillota; Clostridia; Eubacteriales; Clostridiaceae
Description: bacterial SSU rRNA
Rfam family: Bacterial small subunit ribosomal RNA
Source: RNAcentral